GACUGCCCUCGUGUGGGGGAUAGCCGGGCUUAACGCCCGGGUAAUACCGCAUACGUUCCCUUGGAGGAGUCUCUGGGGGAGGAAAGCUCCGGCGCACGGGGAGGGGUUCGCGGCCUAUCAGCUAGUUGGCGGGGUAAUGGCCCACCAAGGCGACGACGGGUAGCUGGUCUGAGAGGAUGAUCAGCCACACUGGAACUGAGACACGGUCCAGACUCCUACGGGAGGCAGCAGUGGGGAAUAUUGCGCAAUGGGCGAAAGCCUGAACGCAGCAACGCCGCGUUGAGUGAUUGAAGGCCUUCGGGUCGUAAAGCUCUGUCGGAGGGAACGAAUGCUCUUGAGGUUAACAGCCUCAGGAAGUGACGGUACCCUCAAAGGAAGCACCGGUUAACUCUGUGCCAGCAGCCGCGGUAAAUACAGGAGGGUGCAAAGCGUUGUUCGGAAUCAUUGGGCGUAAAGGGCGUGUAGGCGGUAUGUUACAGUCAUGUGUGAAAUCCCUCGGUCAAA
This 504-nucleotide ribosomal RNA is filed under the name uncultured bacterium. RNAcentral describes it as "bacterial SSU rRNA". It matches the Rfam family "Bacterial small subunit ribosomal RNA", at positions 124 to 612 of the family's 1533-position model. The record is from RNAcentral.